UACGGAGGAUGCGAGCGUUAUCCGGAUUUAUUGGGUUUAAAGGGCGUGUAGGCGGGAGUGCAAGUCAGAUGUGAAAACCACGGGCUCAACCUGUGGCCUGCAUUUGAAACUGUACUUCUUGAGUACUGGAGAGGCAGACGGAAUUCCUAGUGUAGCGGUGAAAUGCGUAGAUAUUAGGAGGAACACCAGUGGCGAAGGCGGUCUGCUGGACAGCAACUGACGCUGAGGCUCGAAGGCGUGGGGAGCAAACAGG
Molecule: ribosomal RNA, 253 nt
Filed under: uncultured bacterium
Lineage: Bacteria
Description: partial 16S ribosomal RNA
Rfam family: Bacterial small subunit ribosomal RNA
Source: RNAcentral